This 467-nucleotide ribosomal RNA is filed under the name uncultured bacterium. RNAcentral's name for it is "partial 16S ribosomal RNA". It matches the Rfam family "Bacterial small subunit ribosomal RNA", at positions 29 to 507 of the family's 1533-position model. The record is from RNAcentral.
ACGAACGCUGGCGGCGUGCUUAACACAUGCAAGUCGAACGGAAAGGCCCUGCUUUUGUGGGGUGCUCGAGUGGCGAACGGGUGAGUAACACGUGAGUAACCUGCCCUUGACUUUGGGAUAACUUCAGGAAACUGGGGCUAAUACCGGAUAGGAGCUCCCGCUGCAUGGUGGGGGUUGGAAAGUUUCGGCGGUUGGGGAUGGACUCGCGGCUUAUCAGCUUGUUGGUGGGGUAGUGGCUUACCAAGGCUUUGACGGGUAGCCGGCCUGAGAGGGUGACCGGCCACAUUGGGACUGAGAUACGGCCCAGACUCCUACGGGAGGCAGCAGUGGGGAAUAUUGCACAAUGGGCGGAAGCCUGAUGCAGCAACGCCGCGUGCGGGAUGACGGCCUUCGGGUUGUAAACCGCUUUCGCCUGUGACGAAGCGUGAGUGACGGUAAUGGGUAAAGAAGCACCGGCUAACUACGUG